AAUUCCAGAAGUGUGUUUGUUAAAACUGAUAGAGAAAUAUAAAACUAAUACAUGGAAUGAGUCUCUGUCAAUGUGGUGGCAAAUAACUUUGUUUCUCAUCACUGCCUUCAAAACAAAGCCCCAACAUCCUCCCAGGAUAAUCUGAGGAUGCUUCCUUAACUUUCUGGUCAUUCCAGUUAUAAGAACAAAUCUUAUUUCAUUAAUUACAACUCAUUUUUAUGUGUUACAAAGUCCAGACAAGUCCAAUUGUAUCCUUUAUUGCCUCAUGUAACAAAACUAUCCCCAGCCCCAUCCAACUUAGGCUCAGAGCUGGGUUUGGAGAACUGCAAGACAGUAGGUUACUGUCAGUAUAAUCAGCUUUCUCUCUCUCUCUCUCUCUCUCUCACACACACACACACACACACACACACACAUCCCCUUUCCUUCCCUCCCUUGAUUUUUCACUGCAACUUCCCUACUUGUGAAUCUUCCACACUCAGUGCAACUGGAAUGGAGAUUAGAGGAAAAGAAUGAUUUCGUAGUUUCCCUACAUGGCUGAUGUACUGACUGAUCUCUUAAUUUUUCCCUUGGCCUCAGGCCCUAGUGACCUACCCACCUCACAGCUCCUCACUCCUAGGAUCUCUUCUCUGGAGAAGGCAGCAACCUGGGGCAGUGUCUCAUCAGGGCAGCUCAACCUCACUGCUUCCCCUUGCCUUAUAGGCUCCAUAAAAUAGUGGGAAAGUAGACUUGCCUUUCUGUUUCUCUCUCUCUCUCUCUCUCUCUCUCUCUCUCUCUCUCUGUCUGUCUGUCUGUCUGCAGCCUCUUGAGCAGCUCCAAUAUUCCCUCCCACCCCCUACUUCCAUGACUUCUGAAGCAACUGUCAUUGACAUUCUCUCUACAGCCCCUGGCCGCAGAUACAAAGGAUGCAUUUCAAGCUCUCCCAAGAACUCUUGCAGUGCUCCAUCCCUGUGUCCUCAGAAAUGGCCCUGAGUCUCAGCAGCUCAAAAAGACUCCAGUUGGAUAGUGAGAAGCCACUGCUUCCUUGCAAGAACCUUCCCAAAUUUCUCUAAUUUCUGGGAGAAUAACAAAAAGAAGGAAGAUUCAGUAGGAAAGGAAAGCAAUGAAGAAGCCAAGAAAGAGACAAGGAACCCCGGAAAGAGAGUCAGCAAAGAGAGAAAUAGAAACAUUAAUUUCAGGUGAAGAAACUGAAGACUUUAGCCAGAGCCAAGUGGCUAAUUCAGAGUUUAAUACACCUUUGACCUCAAACCCUUUGUGGUCACCUUUGAACAGUGCCUCCCUCUCUGAAAUAAAAUACUGGUUCUGUCAUUAAUUAUUAAUUAUUGAUUAAUUUCUCUUGAUUUUCAUUUUCUCCUAUGCAAAAUUCUGUUACUGAAUUACAUGAAUUCCAAGACCUCUUUCUGAUCUAACAUCCCAUCAUUCCCCUGUUAAAAAGAUAACAUAAAACCAGAAACAAAGUAUGUAAUUGUAAUGCCAAAUUUUUAAACAUAGUUGAUUAUUCCACCUUGAAAAUGUAAAUACUACAUGAAGCGUCAACAAAUAAACCAUUAGGUCAAUAUUUACUGAGAGCUGACUCUCCAUCAGAGUGAUGCUUGUAAUUGACAUGGAGGGCAAAAUGAUUUUAAAAAGUAAGAUUCCUGCCUUCUUGGAACUCAGAGACAAAUGUGGGAAAUGGGCAACUCAAGAAACAAUUUCAAAAUCAUAUGUUAAGUCAAGAAACUGGACAUGAAAGAAGGGGCAUGUAGUAGACACCAGCAAGUCAGGAAAGGCUCUCUGUCAAGGGAAAUGCACUUAGAAGGACAAGAAUUUAACCAAGUAAAUAAACAGGAGAGAGAAAGAUGUUUCAUGCAGAGAGUUGCAGAUAUGAGAAUAAGCUAAUAGCCUAAAAGUUAAUUUGCAUACUGUAACCAUUCAACUCUCAAAAUGUUCCCUUAUUUGCCAUGUAAACCACAGGUCCUAAUGUAGCAGAAGUAAUCCUAAAUAAAUCUGUUCUACAGUUGAGCAAAAUGAUUUUCAUAGAUGUUAAGCAACAUGACUAAGCCAUCCCCAUUGUGGCGGAUUCGAGUACAAAUCCUAUGCUCUUUUCCUCUAAUCAUCACCAUCUCCCUGUACAUUUCUUUCUUGAGGCUCAGCUGAACAUAAAUAAUCCCGGUGCAGAACACUGGACAACUGAAGCAAAACUGAGUAAUUCAAAAGAAGAUAUAUGAAUAUAUAAUCAGCUGAAAAACCAGAUAUGAAUCUGCUCUAAACCCAUUUCGAAAGCCCUCCUUGAAUCUGUUCUGCAGCCAUGUAUUACAGGCAUCUCAAAGAAAGAGAUUUUUUUUCUGCAAAAUGGUAGCUGGAGGAGAAUUUUCUCUCCUCUGAGGUUUAAGAGGGCAAGCCAUCAAGCCCACAGAACUGUAAACGUACAAUCAGGCUCAUUUUGUAUAAGCAAAAGCAUAAUUUUAUGUGCGGCUUGGCAAUCAUGAUAAUUUAUGAAUUUAUAUAUUUUAACAAGGUAUGACCCAACUAUAAUUUUUGAACCAAAAAGGUAAAACAAACUUGAGUUUUCCUUACUAAUUUUUACAUCUCAAGGAAGGAAUGAUUUUUUCAAAUGUCCACUUCAUGACAUUCACUUCUUAACUGCAUGUUUGGUGUAUUGAGAAAAAGUAAAUGCCCUUAAGUGUGUGGAUUUUAUAUUUAGCAGGUGUUUUCCCAGACUUGACUGGGUUUGAAAAAGGUGCAGACAUAUGAGUCACAUUCUCAAUGACAACAAAAAUGAGAAACAAUACUCCAGAGAUUAAGGCCCCAAAAGAGAGAUGCAGAUUUUUCCAAAGUUUGAUGCUAUAAAAGCAAUUUAUUUUGGAACAUGUUAACAACUUUAAAGCAGAUAUUAGACAACUGUGCUCUCUAAAGAUUUUGACUACCCUGCUUCAAGCAACUGUUCAUCUGCUUAAUUGUUAAGUCCCUUCUUAGAAAGUUUCAGAGUCUCACCACGUGACAUGGCUCCUUCCUCCAACCUCAGAUUACGACAAACAUAUUCAGUUGAACAUUUCACAUGGCAGCAUUUUUCCAUUUUAAUGGUAUAAGCCAUACUCUUGGUGUUUCUCCUAACCCAGCUGAAGUGGACUAUAUAGCUAUUUUUCUAGAGGAGAAGUUCUCUUUCCAAAAGGAACUCUGAUGCUAAUUCUUUUGUUUUUAAAGAUGGGAAGAUAAUGUUUUCCACUAAAAUAGCAAUAAUUUUGUUAAAUAUAAUUAAUUUUGAAAAGUUAUCAUAAACAACAAACAUUAAUCAGGGAGAUAAAUAGAGACUUAAGGUGGGAAAUACGUUCAUUCCAUAAAACCCUUCAUUCAGCAUUUAUUUAAUAAACAUUUACUGAGUGCUAUGUGCAAUGAUCUGUAGUGAAUGAACAGUGAAGGACCAAACAGCCAUGGACUCUUGAAGUUAUAGCCCAAAAGGGAUGACUGGUCAUUUUUUUAAAGUCUACAUACAAGAACUUGCAAGAGAUGAUGUGAAGAAAAUAGGUGAGUGCAAUGGCAAAAUGGAGUAAGUGGCAUCUGCUUGGAGAAGAUGGUCAGAAAAACUGCCUGUAAAGAGGUGAUAUUUCCAGCACUUUGGGAGGCCAGGGCAGGUGGAUCAUGAGGUCAGGAGAUCGAGACCGUCCUGGCUAACACAGUGAAACCCCGUCUCUACUAAAAAAUACAAAAAAUUAGCCAGGCAUGGUGGCGGGCGCCUGUAGUCCCAGCGACUCAGGAGGCUGAGGCAGGAGAAUGAUGUGAACCCGGGAGGUGGAGCUUGCAGUGAGCCAAGAUCAUGCCACUGCACUCCAGCCUGGGCAACAGAGCGAGACUCCAUCUCAAAAAAAAGUGGGGGGGGUGAUAUUUGGGCCAAGCCCUAUAGAAUGGGAGGACAGUGUCCACCUGAAGACUCAUGUCAGAGUGUCACUGGCAGGACAAGUCUCUGAGGAGGGAAAGGAGAAGCUGAAAGGAAGACAGUGAGGCUGGCCACAACCACCCCAGACAAACACAGAUCUUCUCUCUGUGUUACAAAGAGUGUUACAAAGUCCACCCUUUGUAAUAGUGAGCAGCAACUUUCACCUGGAGAAAAGGGUGCUGAACCACUCACACUCCUACGGCUCCAUGUGGAGCCCCCUUCCUCCUACUCUCUCUUAAGCAGGGGCUCCUUUUAAAUGGAAGCCCUAAAUGCUGUGUUGUGGUGACACUGAAGGAAACAUCCACCAAGCCCUCAGGACAUGUCAGGGAACGUAAAUACUGAUCCAUCUGCAACUCAUUUCCUGACCCUUUAGAAAGUAGACCAACAGACAAACUUUCGACUGAUGGCUAGUUUUUUGUUUUGUUUUGUUUUUAAAUCUUGCUUAUUGGUAACAGAGUCAUCAAAAGUGCUAUGUUUGGGCAGGGGCCUGUGGCAGUUACUUGAUGAAAUGCAGCAAUUGACAUUUAUUGAUUAUGACAUAAUCAAAACACCAUAUAAAAGCCUUUAGAAAAACACAUAUGGACAUGAUAGUCAAUAGUUGUCCAAAAAAGAUGAUAUUGCUUAUUCAUAAGUUAGUAUCAGUCUGAGUUGGAUUUAGAGAAUUUCAAAACCCUUUCUAUUCCAACCGAUGUAUGACGUAUAUACUAAACAUUGCUGUAGCAUCUGUGCCCGAUAAACUACUUCUUUGGUAUCACAAGUGAAGGUAGAUAAUAGAUAUAUGAAACAAUUCUCAGAGUCCAUUUAACUUUUCUUUUUUAACUAGAGACAGUUACUUGUAGUCUUACCAAAAUGUGUUAAUACAAACCCGCAGAGAAAAGUAGAUAAACCAUAAUGAUAAUUACAACUGAAUUUAUCCAUCACAAUAAUUCUAAUGAUAAUUGCUAAUCUUGGUGGUAAUUCACCCAUUGAGAAGACUCCACCAAGGCUAUGCCACUUCAGGAUAUAACACCUGAUAUCAAACUUGGUGACUGAGAAGGAUCUCAAAAUGCAUUUGAGAAGUAGAAAUCAGGAAAUUGUUACUUCUCUUUCUAGUCAAGUCCUCAACAUCCACGUCAAGUUUUAUCUUUGAAUGUGAGGUGGGAGAGCAUAUAUUUCUCUGAAAAGCUUAUUAAUUUCCAUGGUUUUCUCUACGUGUUCUUAUCUGUAAAAUGGGAAGAGUUAACACAUGAAAAGUAGAGCCUGCCCGUGAAUGAGCAUAUCCACUGACAGAUGACAUUCUUCCAGCCACUGUUUUUCACCCUGCUUACUAAUAUUAUUAUUAUCAUUUAUAACAAGUAUUUCUGUCUAUGAUGGUUUUGAAAGGACUCUUACAGUGUCCCUUAAUAAAAAGAGACCCAUAACCUAAAACAAUGACCCUAUUCACAUGGCAUUUAAGCUAAGAGCCUAAAAGGUCAUGUAGGAGAUCGGUCAGUAUGGUGGCAGAAAUUACAGGGAAAGGGCGCAAACCUUCUGAAAGGUCAGAAGGCUCUGCAUAGCUUUGGGGAAGAAUAAGCUGAAGGCAGCUGUUCUCUUACCCUGAGGCAGAGGGCAAGGAUUAGGUACAAGGAAGUGCAGGGGAAUUUAGGUACAAGGAAGUGUAGGGGAAACAGGCUUGUUUACUUAUGUUAACCAGGAACCGACCUUUGGUAAUUAUUUAUUUCAGGUGCUUUAAAUUAUGCCUAAUCCCUAGGAUGACACAAAGCAAAGUCACCCUCGCUUUCAGGAUUACAGAAAAUCAAAAAUUACAGUAACUUGUAAAAGGCUCAAGCUUUUAAGUAAUUAAGCUAGGGUUCAAGUUCAGGCCUCACUCACUCUUAAAGCUGUGCUUUCUCUAGCUCAACAAGCAUUGUCAUAAGUAGUUGCCUCCUUACUUUUUCUUAAUUGUGCCCUUCCUUUCCCAGACUUUAUCAUGGCCAAGUUCAAGCCCUUAUCAUGCCUCAUUGAAGAAUUAAAAAUGGUUCCAGAUUUGCCCCCUUCAAAUACACCCUACACACUGCCACCAGAGUUAUAUAACAGCAGUGCAAAUUUAACUGUGACUGCUUUUUUUAUGUCAACAAAUCACUUCAAUUACAUGCCAAGCUUUCAUCCCAGCCUGUGAAGCCUCCAUGACAUCUGCCUGAACUUCGAGAAACCCACAUCUCGUGUUUUAAUUUCUGGUAAUAUGAAACUACAUUUGGUUCCCCAGGCACACCCUAUUAUUCAUUCUGCACUGCAUUUUUGCUCUCUUUUAGUGGAAUAAAAGAGAAUUUUAGAUACGAACAUGUGUGACCAGGUUUGGGGUGGAGAAAAGGUGAUGACUUCCCUGACUAAAAAUCAUCUCGGACACCUUCUCCUUCAGAAAUGCUGGCCACCUCUUAUUCCUCAAGCUGAAUGAGAAGAAUCUCUUUCAAACUCACAGCACCCUGUGCCUACUUCUCUUAUUAUUAUGAAAUGUUCUAUGCAUAUAUAUAUUUCAUUUAGCUUUGUUUCUCCAGUACUUGGUAAUAAUAGAAAUUUGGUAAAAAAAAAUUGUUGAAAUAAACUGAACCAACUUGCCCAAGAAUAACAUCUAAGAAAUAGAAGAAUCAGUACUUAAUCUAUGUGGUUAAAGAUUCAAUUGCAUGGUCCUUCUUGAAACAUAAUAUGGGGCAGAAGAGCUAGAUCAUGCCCCUUCGUAAACCUACAGUAAUUGUCAUCUUGGGAGCAAAUAAUAGAGAAAUAUUUGUAAACAUGUUAUAAACCGUUAGUAUCGAUAUGUUGUAGAUCUCUGCUAAUUUCUAGUGUGGAUCACUGUAUUUCUGAAGUGUCUGAAAUACAGCACCAAAGUUUGCAUCUAAAUGAAAUAUGUUCAUACCAACAAUGCCCUUUAGUAAUCGUAUAAUUACUGCAUUGCCUGGUACUGUUUACAGACAUUCAGUUAUUAAAUACAGAUUUAGAUGCAAGGAAGGAAAUCAGAAUUUUUCUUGUUAUGCUCUCUAUUGAGAAGUAAUUGAAGACUUAAAUAGAAAACAAAGCAUGAAAGACCUUCCACAAACCAAAAGUUAAACAUACAUUAAAUGAUCAUUAUCUUUUACCUUAAGAAAAUUAUGAAAAUGGAGAAUAUUUUAUCUACUGCCUAUAAGGGGUGAACAUAUAUAUUAAAUAUUAAAAGAAAAAAUUUCAAAUUAACUCCUUGAGACUGACAUUAUCUCCUCAUUGAAUUUCAAAUUAAAAUAAUUUCCCCUGUUGAAAGAAAUGCCUCCCUUUCUUUCCCCGGAUCCCUUCUUUCAUUUGCCUCUUAGAUGUGAGUGUCUCUUGGAUGCAAAAGAGACUUUGGCUCUUUUAAUCUCUUUUGCAUUCUGUAGAUUUCAUCAAGGAACUUCACUUCAAUUAACACUCAGAACCAGAUUACUACCAAGUUCAUGACUUCAACCCAUUUGUCUCUUCUGUCCUCCAUUCUUUUACAAAGAUCUUGUAGACAUUUGUAGGUGGCUAUACAGGAAUUACCUUAACCUCAGCAUAUCUGAUGAACCUGGUCAUCUUCUGCACAAAACUUAAACACACAUUCCUUAUUCUGGUAAAUCACACCACCCAGUUAGCAUCUAGCUUUCCCCUGCUCUCUCCCCUACAUCCAGUUUUUACCUAGUCAUGUUGAUUGUUCUUCCUAAACAUCUCUUAAUCUGGCUCCUCCUCUUUCACCCCAUUGUAACCGCCUUAAUUAAAACAUCUGUCAUUUCUCACUGCACAAUUGCAACAACUGGUUUUCCAGCCUCCAGUUUCUUUUCCAAUCAUACUUUUAUUCCACGGUCAGAGAUGUAUUUCUAUACUGACAGUCUGAUCACAUGACUCUCCUGAUUGCAAUAUUUCAAUGCACUUCCACAUAUAGGAAAGAAAAUUCAAACAUGUCUUUUGUAAUAUGACUUACCUCUCAGUAAGAGGUCAUCUUCCACCUCCAAUGUCUGACUUUUUCAUUCAACCUGGCAUGGCUCAUGUUAUACCCUCUGCAAAAUUAUUCUUCUCUUUUCUUCCUCUCUCACCUUCUAUUCUUCUCUACCCUGUAUCUUUCCAGAGAAAUAUACUCAUCCUUCAAUCUUGGCUGAAAUGUAACUCUUUCUUGGAAUCCUUCUGUGAUUCCCCUAAGCCCUUUCUGCCAAAGCUGUGAACACAGAAGCAUCAGAGUUCUUCUAAGAGCUGGUUGGUAGUGCAGAAUCUCAGGUGUGCCCCAGACCUACUAGGUCCCAUCCCACCCCAGGUGGUUUUUAUGGAUGUUAAAGUUUAAGAAGCCCUGUGGGUAGCUAUUUCUACUCCCAAAACUACAGUAGUAUCAGCAACACCUGGGAACUUGCUGAAAAUGCAAAUCACAAUCUGAUAAAAGACUUGUAUCCCGAAUAUAUAAAGGAUUCUCGAAACUCAAUUUUAAGCAAACAACCGAUCAAUUUUUUUUAACAGGCAAAAUAUUUGAACAGACACUUCACCAAAGAAGAGGUACACAUGGCAAAUAAGCAAUUGAACAGAUGCUCAACCCAAUUUGUCACUAGGAAAACUACCGGGAAGUGUAAAUAUUUACCUGUCAGAAUAGAAAUAACAACAAAACCUGGCAAUAUCCACUGCUGCUAGCAAGAAUGCGAAGCAACUGGAACUCUCAAACAUGGCUGGAGGAAAUGCAAGAUGGUGUAGCCACUUUGGAAAACAGUUUGUCAAUUUCUAAUAACGUUAAACACACACUUAGUACGUGACCAGGCAAGCUGUUACUCAGUAUUUACCCAAGUGGAAUAAAAAAAUUAUAUUCUGGCCAUGAGUCACAGUGGCUCAUGCCUGUAAUUACAGCACUUUGGAAGGCUGAGAUGGGCAGAUUACUUGAGGUCAGGAAUUCAAGACCAGCCUGGCCAACAUGGUAAAAUUCUGUUUCUACUAAAAAUACAAAAAGUUAG
Molecule: long non-coding RNA, 8838 nt
Filed under: Homo sapiens (human)
Lineage: Eukaryota; Metazoa; Chordata; Mammalia; Primates; Hominidae
Description: HSALNT0076921
Source: RNAcentral